This 252-nucleotide ribosomal RNA is filed under the name uncultured bacterium. Its description in RNAcentral is "partial 16S ribosomal RNA". It matches the Rfam family "Bacterial small subunit ribosomal RNA", at positions 524 to 776 of the family's 1533-position model. The record is from RNAcentral.
UACGGAGGAUGCGAGCGUUAUCCGGAUUUAUUGGGUUUAAAGGGUGCGUAGGCGGGCUUUUAAGUCAGCGGUAAAAAUUCGGGGCUCAACCCCGUCCGGCCGUUGAAACUGGCGGCCUCGAGUGGGCGAGAAGUAUGCGGAAUGCGUGGUGUAGCGGUGAAAUGCGUAGAUAUCACGCAGAACUCCGAUUGCGAAGGCAGCAUACCGGCGCCCGACUGACGCUGAAGCACGAAAGCGUGGGUAUCGAACAGG